UAAUACAAUGAGUUCUAUCAAACACUUGGUGUCACAUUGUAAUUUAUAGAACACAUUAGGUUUUACAUUUGGACUCAGGGCACGGUAUAAGGCUGUUUUUAGGAGGGCCUUACAUCAAUAUAUGUGGGAGCAGAGCCAUUUACCCUUGGGCUGAAGACCCUGGUCUUUUUUCCACCAAGCAAUGUCUCUGCUCGUGCCAUUACUGAGGAAACCUAUACAACUGUCCGACAGGUGCAACCUAUAUGGGCAGUUCACAAAUAAAAAGUUAGGCAAGUAGGCAAACAGUGUAUAAAACAUUGACUGAAAGAGAACUGUAGCUUAUAGCUUAAAGGGAACACUCCAGGCACCAAGCACACUUCAUGUGGUGCCUGGAAUCACCCUAUGCCUUCUUGCCUCCAAG
Pelobates cultripes (western spadefoot toad) is the source of this 400-nucleotide non-coding RNA. Lineage: Eukaryota; Metazoa; Chordata; Amphibia; Anura; Pelobatidae. The record is from the annotation of a GenBank genome assembly.